AUGAAUUACUCUACCGCGUCGUUUCGAACGUAAUUUCCACUGUUCUUAUGCAGAUAUGAGCCAACAGCAAAGAACAGCUGCUCUUUUAAGGCAGGUAGCAGAUUUGUUGAAUGUCAACACAUGUGACAGUAGUACACAAUACCAGCACCUGCACCAGUAACCUCUGUCAGUAGCACUAAUGCUUCGAAGGCAAUUUUUGCACCCGACAGUAAAAAGAAGGAGGCAUGAACAUGCAAAUACCGGAACUGUGGCAGUGCCAGAACUGGACUAUUUCACCCAGUUGUAAUCAGGAGCUAGACGUUACCAGGGAGAGACACCAGCACAAAGGUGAAUCAGAUUAACUGGAUCUACAAGCAGCUUAAGAGAAACCUUCAGGGACCAGUCUAAAUGUUCUGAUAAUGAUAAUAGAGUGGCAUGCUUGGCAUGCUUAAGCUCAACAUAAUAUUAGAGAUUUUGAUUUAUUUCACAUUAUUUUACUUAUCUUGCAAUGAUUUUACAAGCAUCUUUUUCACACAUCUUGUAGAUUGGUCAGCAGAUAUGUUCUUGCUAGAUUUCAAUGGUGUAGUUUUUUAGUAAAAAUGCCUUUCUAUUUUGUUGUGCUGAAAUUUAGAUCUUAGUUAUAAUAUGUUUGCAGUAAACAGCCUCGGUUAAGUAGACCUGGUACAUGUAUUCAAUCAAAUUGAGUAGCGU
Molecule: long non-coding RNA, 690 nt
Organism: Dreissena polymorpha
Lineage: Eukaryota; Metazoa; Mollusca; Bivalvia; Myida; Dreissenidae
Exons: 3
Source: RefSeq, a predicted model, not a curated record